UUUUGUUAAGUGUGUAAGAGCACACGGUGGAUGCCUUGGCAUCAAGAGCCGAUGAAGGACGUGGGAGACUGCGUUAAGCCUAGGGGAGUUGUCAACCGAGCGGUGAUCCUAGGAUGUCCGAAUGGGGAAACCUAGCCACAGUGAUGUGUGGUCGCCUGCGCCUGAAUGUAUAGGGCGUGUGGAGGGAACGCGGGGAAGUGAAACAUCUUAGUACCCGUAGGAAGAGAAAACAACCGUGAUUCCGUUAGUAGUGGCGAGCGAAGGCGGAUGAGGCUAAACCAUAUGCGUGUCAAGCCGGCAGGCGUUGCGUGUGUGGUGUUGUGGGAGCAAGUGUGUGUGGCUGCCGUCGCAUGCUGUUGAUGUUGUCGUUAGCGGAAGUCGUUUGGAACGGCGCACCGUAGUGGGUGAGAGUCCCGUACGUGAAAGCGGCAAUUGUUGAUGGUUCUUGUUUCCCGAGUAGCACCGGGCCCGUGAAAUCCGGUGUGAAGGUGAAAAGUACCCCGGGAGGGGAGUGAAAUAGUACCUGAAACCGUGUGCUUACAAUCCGUCAGAGGCUUUCGGGCUGAUGGCGUGCCUUUUGAAGAAUGAGCCUGCGAGUUAGUGGUAUGUCGCGAGGUUAACCCGUGUGGGGAAGCCGGAGCGAAAGCGAGUCCGAAUAGGGCGUUUAGUGGAACUGAGGGGAUGAGCUGUGGGUAGGGGUGAAAGGCCAAUCAAACUCCGUGAUAGCUGGUUCUCCCCGAAAUGCAUUUAGGUGCAGCGUCGUGUGUUUCAUCUUGGAGGUAGAGCUACUGGAUGGUCAAGGGGGCUUAUCCGCUUACCAACACCAGCCAAACUCCGAAUGCCAGGAUGUGAGAGCACGGCAGUGAGACUGUGGGGGAUAAGCUUCAUAGUCGAGAGGGAAACAGCCCAGAUCGCCGGCUAAGGCCCCUAAGCGUGUACUAAGUGGAAAAGGAUGU
This 956-nucleotide ribosomal RNA is filed under the name Lawsonella clevelandensis. RNAcentral describes it as "bacterial LSU rRNA". It matches the Rfam family "Bacterial large subunit ribosomal RNA", at positions 1 to 1076 of the family's 2925-position model. Lineage: Bacteria; Bacillati; Actinomycetota; Actinomycetes; Mycobacteriales; Lawsonellaceae. The record is from RNAcentral.